GGCGGCGAGGCGCGCAGCGGCGGCGCAGGCGCGGAGAGGCGCUGGCGCCGGCUCUGGCGCGGAGAGGUGCAGGCCCAGGCUCCACUCCCCAGCUGUGAAAGGGUUUUCUGCCUCCUGCUAAGCCAAUUUAUACAUUCCAAGAAAAUCUUCCAUUUCAUCCAGGUGAAACGGAACCUACUGGAAUGAAGCUGGCCUCCCAUGGAAUGAAGCUGGCCUCCCGUCUCCUUGAUUUGAA
RNAcentral lists this long non-coding RNA (235 nucleotides) under Homo sapiens (human). Its description in RNAcentral is "non-protein coding lnc-PLGLB1-6:1". Lineage: Eukaryota; Metazoa; Chordata; Mammalia; Primates; Hominidae. The record is from RNAcentral.